GACGAACGCUGGCGGCGUGCUUAACACAUGCAAGUCGAACGGAAAGGCCCUGCUUUUUUGGGGUGCUCGAGUGGCGAACGGGUGCGUAACACGUGAGUAACCUGCCCUUGAUUUUGGGAUAACUUCAGGAAACUGGGGCUAAUACCGUAUAGGAGCUCCUGCUGCAUGGUGGGGGUUGGAUAGUCGCGGCGGGUGGGGAUGGAUGCGCGGCUUAUCAGCUUGUUGGUGGGGGAGUGGCUUACCAAGGCUUUGACGGGUAGGCGGCCUGUGAGGGUGGACGGGGACAAUGGGCCUAAGAUACGGACCAGACUCGUACGGGGGACAGAGGUGGGGAGUCUUGCACAGUGGGCGGAAGUCUGAGACGGCAACGCCGCGUGCGGAAUGACGGCCUUCGGGUUGUAAACCGCUUUCGCCUGUGACGAAGCGGGAGUGACGGUAAUGAAUAAAGAAGCACCGGCUAACUACGUG
This 468-nucleotide ribosomal RNA is filed under the name uncultured bacterium. Its description in RNAcentral is "partial 16S ribosomal RNA". It matches the Rfam family "Bacterial small subunit ribosomal RNA", at positions 28 to 507 of the family's 1533-position model. The record is from RNAcentral.